AUUAGUGGACAAGGGCAUCAACCCUGUUCCAGCAAUGCCGCGCCUGGAAGAAGGCCACCGGGUGGGAGAGCACAUUCAUUAGGGUAGAAAAGUAUGUAUUUAAUAGAGAUGUAUUGGGUCGUUACCUAAAGAAGAAGCACCGGUUAAUUCCGUGCCAGCAGCCGCGGUAAUACGGAGGGUGCAAGCUUUAAUCGGAUUUACUGGGCGUAAAGGGUGCGUAGGUGGUAUUUUAAGUUAUUUGUGAAAGACCCGGGCUUAACCCGGGGGUGUCAGGUAAAACUGGAAGACUAGAGUGCAGUAGAGGGUAGCGGAAUUUCCGGUGUAGCGGUGAAAUGCGUAGAGAUCAGAAGGAACACCCGUGGCGAAGGCGGCUACCUGGACUGAGACUGACACUGAGGCACGAAAGCGUGGGUAGCGAUCAGGAUUAGAUACCCUGGUAGUCCACGCCGUA
RNAcentral lists this ribosomal RNA (451 nucleotides) under uncultured marine bacterium. RNAcentral describes it as "bacterial SSU rRNA". It matches the Rfam family "Bacterial small subunit ribosomal RNA", at positions 360 to 804 of the family's 1533-position model. The record is from RNAcentral.